GGCGGGUUGGCGUAAUGGUAACGCGCUAGUUUCCGGAGAGGUGCGCUAGAGAUUCUGGGUUCGAGUCCCAGGCCUGUCG
This is a non-coding RNA of Paxillus ammoniavirescens, 79 nucleotides long. The record is from the annotation of a GenBank genome assembly. NCBI's taxonomy places the organism in Eukaryota, Fungi, Basidiomycota, Agaricomycetes, Boletales, Paxillaceae.